RNAcentral lists this ribosomal RNA (484 nucleotides) under uncultured bacterium. RNAcentral's name for it is "partial 16S ribosomal RNA". It matches the Rfam family "Bacterial small subunit ribosomal RNA", at positions 29 to 507 of the family's 1533-position model. The record is from RNAcentral.
AUUGAACGCUGGCGGCAUGCUUUACACAUGCCAGUCGAACGGCAGCGCGGGCUUCGGCCUGGCGGCGAGUGGCGAACGGGUGAGUAAUACAUCGGAACGUGCCCAGUAGUGGGGGAUAGCUCGGCGAAAGCCGGAUUAAUACCGCAUACGACCUGAGGGUGAAAGCGGGGGAUCUUCGGGCCUCGCGCUAUUGGAGCGGCCGAUGGCAGAUUAGCUAGUUGGUGGGGUAAAGGCCUACCAAGGCGACGAUCUGUAGCUGGUCUGAGAGGACGACCAGCCACACUGGGACUGAGACACGGCCCAGACUCCUACGGGAGGCAGCAGUGGGGAAUUUUGGACAAUGGGCGAAAGCCUGAUCCAGCAAUGCCGCGUGUGUGAUGAAGGCCUUCGGGUUGUAAAGCACUUUUGGCGGGAACGAAAAGGACUGUGCCAAUACCACGGUUCGAUGACGGUACCCGCAGAAUAAGCACCGGCUAACUACGUG